Sinocyclocheilus rhinocerous is the source of this 219-nucleotide long non-coding RNA. RefSeq lists it as uncharacterized. The record is from RefSeq and is a predicted model, not a curated record. NCBI's taxonomy places the organism in Eukaryota, Metazoa, Chordata, Actinopteri, Cypriniformes, Cyprinidae. The transcript has 3 exons.
GCUAAACUCUGCAGGACACCGGCCCUCCAGGACCGAGUUUGGGCAGCCCUGGCCUAUGUGUUCCUGGGCUUAUUACGAUUAAUGGAAAUCUGAUGAUUCGCUCAAAAACUAUGAUUCGUUUACGUACCAAACAAGUGACUGCCUUAAUGGGUUCUGCCAAAAAAGAGGAUCACAAACAUAUUGUAGACUUCUAUCCAGAGGACAACAACUGUCUACAAA